RNAcentral lists this ribosomal RNA (459 nucleotides) under uncultured Sphingobacteriales bacterium. Its description in RNAcentral is "bacterial SSU rRNA". It matches the Rfam family "Bacterial small subunit ribosomal RNA", at positions 922 to 1382 of the family's 1533-position model. The record is from RNAcentral. Lineage: Bacteria; Pseudomonadati; Bacteroidota; Sphingobacteriia; Sphingobacteriales.
GGCACAAGCGGAGGAGCAUGUGGUUAAUUCGAUGAUACGCGAGGAACCUUACCUGGGCUCGAACGUAAGAUGACUGUAGGUGAAAGCUUACAUCUCUUCGGAGCAUUUUACGAGGUGCUGCAUGGUUGUCGUCAGCUCGUGCCGUGAGGUGUCGGGUUAAGUCCCAUAACGAGCGCAACCCCUACCUUUAGUUGCCAUCAGGUAAUGCUGGGGACUCUAAAGGAACUGCCUACGCAAGUAGUGAGGAAGGCGGGGAUGACGUCAAAUCAGCACGGCCCUUACGUCCAGGGCUACACACGUGCUACAAUGGCCGAUACAGAGGGCAGCUACCUGGUGACAGGAUGCAAAUCUCCAAAGUCGGUCUCAGUUCGGAUCGGAGUCUGCAACCCGACUCCGUGAAGUUGGAUUCGCUAGUAAUCGCGCAUCAGCCAUGGCGCGGUGAAUACGUUCCCGGGCCUU